Molecule: ribosomal RNA, 404 nt
Filed under: Actinomycetes bacterium
Lineage: Bacteria; Bacillati; Actinomycetota; Actinomycetes
Description: Actinobacteria bacterium partial 16S ribosomal RNA
Rfam family: Bacterial small subunit ribosomal RNA
Source: RNAcentral
UGGGGAAUAUUGGACAAUGGGCGCAAGCCUGAUCCAGCCAUGCCGCGUGAGUGAUGAAGGCCCUAGGGUUGUAAAGCUCUUUCACCGGUGAAGAUAAUGACGGUAACCGGAGAAGAAGCCCCGGCUAACUUCGUGCCAGCAGCCGCGGUAAUACGAAGGGGGCUAGCGUUGUUCGGAUUUACUGGGCGUAAAGCGAACGUAGGCGGACUUUUAAGUCAGGGGUGAAAUCCCGGGGCUCAACCCCGGAACUGCCUUUGAUACUGGAAGUCUUGAGUAUGGUAGAGGUGAGUGGAAUUCCGAGUGUAGAGGUGAAAUUCGUAGAUAUUCGGAGGAACACCAGUGGCGAAGGCGGCUCACUGGACCAUUACUGACGCUGAGGUGCGAAAGCGUGGGGAGCAAACAGG